AGUGAACGCUGGCGGUAGGCCUAACACAUGCAAGUCGAACGGCAGCACAGUAAGAGCUUGCGCUUACGGGUGGCGAGUGGCGGACGGGUCAGGAAUACAUCGGAAUCUACUUUUUCGUGGAGGAUCACGUAGGGAAACUUAAGCUAAUACCGCAUACGCCCUACCGUUGAGAGCAUGGGAAAUUCGCACCUUGCGCGGAUGGAUGAGCCGCUGUGGGAUUUGCUGGUUGGCGGGGUAAAGGCCCACCCAGGCGACGAUCCGUAGCUGGUCUGAGAGGAUGAUCAGCGACACUGGAACUGGGACACGGUCCAGACUCCUAAGGGAGGGAGCAGUGGGGAAUAUGGGACAAUGGGGGCGAGCCUGAUCCAGCGAUACGGCGUGGGUGAAGAAGGCCUUCGGGUUGUAAAGCCCUUUUGUUGGGAAAGAAACGCAGCAGGUUAAUACCACGCUGUUGUGACGGUACCGAAUGAAUAAGCACCGGCUAACUUCGUG
RNAcentral lists this ribosomal RNA (492 nucleotides) under uncultured bacterium. RNAcentral's name for it is "partial 16S ribosomal RNA". It matches the Rfam family "Bacterial small subunit ribosomal RNA", at positions 29 to 507 of the family's 1533-position model. The record is from RNAcentral.